AAAGCAGUCGGGAGGGCGCAGCAAGUCCUUAAAGGGGCAGCGCGUGUUGGCGUCGGGGGGCGGGGCCGCUUCGGCCCGGACGGCAGACCGGGAAACUGAGGCUCAGGGAGAGAUUUCGACCUCGGCCUAAAUGCCGUCGCAGCCAGGAGGCUCGCGGUGCCCGGGCUCUGCCCCUGCGACGGGGCGGCAAGGAAGGCCCAGGAGUAUUUAUCAUUGCUCACUGAUCUUUGGUCGCAAGAAACAGAAACUCCUGGCAGCUGGAGCUCAGGGGCAGGACGAGGGGUGGCCUCCGUGCCACACAGUCCCUGACCCUGAGGUGUGCGCUGGC
Molecule: long non-coding RNA, 328 nt
Organism: Galeopterus variegatus (Sunda flying lemur)
Lineage: Eukaryota; Metazoa; Chordata; Mammalia; Dermoptera; Cynocephalidae
Exons: 2
Source: RefSeq, a predicted model, not a curated record